Molecule: unclassified non-coding RNA, 219 nt
Filed under: soil metagenome
Description: partial internal transcribed spacer 1
Source: RNAcentral
GUGAACUUUGCACACGCGCCGAGCCUUCGUGGGCGGCGGGCGGGCGGGCUGCCUGCGGGCUGCCUGCCUGUCUGUCUGUCUGCCCACACUGGGUUGCGAUAAAAGUGUUUUGAACUUGGGAAAAUCCGCGCCGGGUCGUCGGUGCUGGUUGACCACCAAAAAAAAACGGUGUUAAAAAACAGUGUUAACAACCAAAAUUAUUGCGGGAAAAAACCAUGA